GACGAACGCUGGCGGCGUGCUUAACACAUGCAAGUCGAACGGAAAGGCCCUGCUUUUGUGGGGUGCUCGAGUGGCGAACGGGUGAGUAACACGUGAGUAACCUGCCCUUGACUUUGGGAUAACUUCAGGAAACUGGGGCUAAUACCGGAUAGGAGCUCCUGCUGCAUGGUGGGGGUUGGAAAGUUUCGGCGGUUGGGGAUGGACUCGCGGCUUAUCAGCUUGUUGGUGGGGUAGUGGCUUACCAAGGCUUUGACGGGUAGCCGGCCUGAGAGGGUGACCGGCCACAUUGGGACUGAGAUACGGCCCAGACUCCUACGGGAGGCAGCAGUGGGGAAUAUUGAACAAUGGGCGGAAGCCGGAUGCAGCAACGCCGCGUGCGGGAUGACGGCCUUCGGGUUGUAAGCCGCUUUCGCCUGUGACGAAGCGUGAGUGACGGUAAUGGGUAAAGAAGCACCGGCUAACUACGU
RNAcentral lists this ribosomal RNA (467 nucleotides) under uncultured bacterium. RNAcentral's name for it is "partial 16S ribosomal RNA". It matches the Rfam family "Bacterial small subunit ribosomal RNA", at positions 28 to 506 of the family's 1533-position model. The record is from RNAcentral.